UACAGAGGGUGCGAGCGUUAAUCGGAAUUACUGGGCGUAAAGCGCGCGUAGGCGGCUUUGCAAGUCGGGUGUGAAAUCCCCAGGCUCAACCUGGGAACUGCAUUCGAGACUGCAUUGCUAGAGUAUGGGAGAGGGGAGUGGAAUUUCCGGUGUAGCGGUGAAAUGCGUAGAUAUCGGAAGGAACGCCGGUGGCGAAAGCGGCGCGCUGGACCUCUUCUGACGCUGAGGCGCGAAAGCCAGGGGAGCAAACGGG
RNAcentral lists this ribosomal RNA (253 nucleotides) under uncultured bacterium. RNAcentral describes it as "partial 16S ribosomal RNA". It matches the Rfam family "Bacterial small subunit ribosomal RNA", at positions 524 to 776 of the family's 1533-position model. The record is from RNAcentral.